UACGGGGGGGGCAAGCGUUGUUCGGAGUUACUGGGCGUAAAGGGCGCGUAGGCGGUUCGCUAAGUUGAAUGUGAAAACUCUGGGCUUAACCCAGAGCCUGCAUUCAAUACUGGCGGGCUAGAGUUCUGGAGGGGAUAGCGGAAUUCCUGGUGUAGCGGUGAAAUGCGUAGAUAUCAGGAGGAACACCGGUGGCGAAGGCGGCUAUCUGGACAGAGUCUGACGCUGAGGCGCGAAAGCUAGGGGAGCAAACAGG
This 253-nucleotide ribosomal RNA is filed under the name uncultured bacterium. RNAcentral's name for it is "partial 16S ribosomal RNA". It matches the Rfam family "Bacterial small subunit ribosomal RNA", at positions 524 to 776 of the family's 1533-position model. The record is from RNAcentral.